This 216-nucleotide ribosomal RNA is filed under the name Glomeromycotina sp. Its description in RNAcentral is "partial small subunit ribosomal RNA". The stretch from base 40 to 216 matches the Rfam family "Eukaryotic small subunit ribosomal RNA", at positions 686 to 864 of the family's 1831-position model. The record is from RNAcentral. Lineage: Eukaryota; Fungi; Glomeromycota.
GGGUCAGUAGGUUGGUCGUGCCACCGGUACGUACUGGUCUCACUGAUUCCUCCUUCCUGAAGAACCGUAAUGCCGUUAAUUUGGUGUUGCGGGGAAACAGGACUGUUACUUUGAAAAAAUUAGAGUGUUUAAAGCAAGCUAACGCUUGAAUGCAUUAGCAUGGAAUAAUGAAAUAGGACGAUCGAUCCUAUUUUGUUGGUUUCUAGGAUUGACGUA